This 827-nucleotide ribosomal RNA is filed under the name Salmonella enterica subsp. enterica. RNAcentral describes it as "partial 23S ribosomal RNA". It matches the Rfam family "Bacterial large subunit ribosomal RNA", at positions 197 to 1063 of the family's 2925-position model. The record is from RNAcentral. Lineage: Bacteria; Pseudomonadati; Pseudomonadota; Gammaproteobacteria; Enterobacterales; Enterobacteriaceae.
AACAUCUAAGUACCCCGAGGAAAAGAAAUCAACCGAGAUUCCCCCAGUAGCGGCGAGCGAACGGGGAGGAGCCCAGAGCCUGAAUCAGCAUGUGUGUUAGUGGAAGCGUCUGGAAAGGCGCGCGAUACAGGGUGACAGCCCCGUACACAAAAGCGCAUGUGCUGUGAGCUCGAUGAGUAGGGCGGGACACGUGGUAUCCUGUCUGAAUAUGGGGGGACCAUCCUCCAAGGCUAAAUACUCCUGACUGACCGAUAGUGAACCAGUACCGUGAGGGAAAGGCGAAAAGAACCCCGGCGAGGGGAGUGAAAAAGAACCUGAAACCGUGUACGUACAAGCAGUGGGAGCACCCUUUUGGGUGUGACUGCGUACCUUUUGUAUAAUGGGUCAGCGACUUAUAUUCUGUAGCAAGGUUAACCGAAUAGGGGAGCCGGAGGGAAACCGAGUCUUAAUUGGGCGUUAAGUUGCAGGGUAUAGACCCGAAACCCGGUGAUCUAGCCAUGGGCAGGUUGAAGGUUGGGUAACACUAACUGGAGGACCGAACCGACUAAUGUUGAAAAAUUAGCGGAUGACCUGUGGCUGGGGGUGAAAGGCCAAUCAAACCGGGAGAUAGCUGGUUCUCCCCGAAAGCUAUUUAGGUAGCGCCUCGUGAAUUCAUCUCCGGGGGUAGAGCACUGUUUCGGCUAGGGGGCCAUCCCGGCUUACCAACCCGAUGCAAACUGCGAAUACCGGAGAAUGUUAUCACGGGAGACACACGGCGGGUGCUAACGUCCGUCGUGAAGAGGGAAACAACCCAGACCGCCAGCUAAGGUCCCAAAGUCAUGGUUAAG